Molecule: ribosomal RNA, 468 nt
Filed under: uncultured bacterium
Lineage: Bacteria
Description: partial 16S ribosomal RNA
Rfam family: Bacterial small subunit ribosomal RNA
Source: RNAcentral
GACGAACGCUGGCGGCGUGCUUAACACAUGCAAGUCGAACGGAAAGGCCCUGCUUUUGUGGGGUGCUCGAGUGGCGAACGGGUGAGUAACACGUGAGUAACCUGCCCCUGACUGUGGGAUAAUUUGAGGAAACUGGGGCUAAUACCGGAUAGGAGCUCCUGACGCAUGGUGGGGGUUUGAAAGGUUCGGCGGUUGGGGAUGGACUCGCCACGGAUCAGCUUGUUGGUGGGGUAGUGGCUUACCAAGGCGUUGACGGGUAGCCGGCCUGAGAGGGUGACCGGCCACAUUGGGACUGAGAUACGUCCCAGACUCCUACGGGAGGCAGCAGUGGGGAAUAUUGCACAAUGGGCGGAAGCCUGAUGCAGCAACGCCGCGUGCGGGAUGACGGCCUUCGGGUUGUAAACCGCUUUCGCCUGUGACGAAGCGAGAGUGACGGUAAUGGGUAAAUAAGCACCGGCUAACUACGUG